Molecule: ribosomal RNA, 497 nt
Filed under: uncultured bacterium
Lineage: Bacteria
Description: partial 16S ribosomal RNA
Rfam family: Bacterial small subunit ribosomal RNA
Source: RNAcentral
GAUGAACGCUGGCGGCGUGCCUAAUACAUGCAAGUCGAGCGAACAGACGAGUAGCUUGCUCCUCUGACGUUAGCGGCGGACGGGUGAGUAACACGUGGAUAACCUACCUAUAAGACUGGGGUAACUUCUGGAAACCGGAGCUAAUACCGGAUAAUAUAUUGAACCGCAUGGUUCAAUAGUGAAAGACGGUCUUGCUGUCACUUAUAGAUGGAUCCGCGCCGCAUUAGCUAGUUGGUAAGGUAACGGCUUACCAAGGCAACGAUGCAUAGCCGACCUGAGAGGGUGAUCGGACACAAUGGAACUGAGACACGGUCCAGACUCCUACGGGAGGCAGCAGUAGGGAAUCUUCCGCAAUGGGCGAAAGCCUGACGGAGCAACGCCGCGUGAGUGAUGAAGGUCUUCGGAUCGUAAAACUCUGUUAUUAGGGAAGAACAAAUGUGUAAGUAACUGUGCACAUAUUGACGGUACCUAAUCAGAAAGCCACGGCUAACUACGUG